UUAUACAACUUUCAACAACGGACCUCUUGGCUCUCGCAUCGAUGAAGAACGCAGCGAAAUGCGAUAAGUAAUGUGAAUUGCAGAAUUCAGUGAAUCAUCGAAUCUUUGAACGCACCUUGCGCUCCUUGGUAUUCCGAGGAGCAUGCCUGUU
RNAcentral lists this ribosomal RNA (151 nucleotides) under Tricholoma matsutake. Its description in RNAcentral is "5.8S rRNA". It matches the Rfam family "5.8S ribosomal RNA". Rfam says of the family: 5.8S ribosomal RNA (5.8S rRNA) is a component of the large subunit of the eukaryotic ribosome. It is transcribed by RNA polymerase I as part of the 45S precursor that also contains 18S and 28S rRNA. Lineage: Eukaryota; Fungi; Basidiomycota; Agaricomycetes; Agaricales; Tricholomataceae. The record is from RNAcentral.